AUGCAGGUUUUAUUUAAAACCACAUCAAUAUAUCAAGACAAAGAUG
Molecule: non-coding RNA, 46 nt
Organism: Monodelphis domestica (gray short-tailed opossum)
Lineage: Eukaryota; Metazoa; Chordata; Mammalia; Didelphimorphia; Didelphidae
Source: Rfam